Molecule: long non-coding RNA, 2529 nt
Organism: Gasterosteus aculeatus aculeatus (three-spined stickleback)
Lineage: Eukaryota; Metazoa; Chordata; Actinopteri; Perciformes; Gasterosteidae
Source: Ensembl
AGUAAUGAUUCUCCUCGUGUUGAACAUUUUCUGGCAGUCUGACUCAGUCCAUAUAAAAGCCACACAAAUACACAUAUUCUCCAAUAAUUUUAUUCAUAAUUUUAAUAUAAACAGUUAAUUGUUGAAUAAUUUACACACAGCAAGAUUUUAAUUUUCAUAUCAUUGCAACAUUUUCUGUACAUGUCACUACUUGGCUCUCCUUUGAAAACAUAGAAAAAAUAAAUUGUCAAGCGCUCAUUUAGUCAUGGCACAUUUUUGAUCCUGUACAAUAUGCAUGUAUUUCUGUCUGUGUGUGUCUGUGUUCAAUAUGUUGAUAUCUGUGAUACAUAAAGAUAAUGGCACAUUUGGAUCCAGUGUGAGGGAUGAAGCAAUCUGGGUUGGUUUGGUUUCUUUCGGACUGUACAUGAAAGACAUAUUCCUGCUGUCUGCACACGCGUCGGCGUCUCAACACAACGUAUACACAACAUAUCCCAAAAUUAACACAUCAGCAUAUUCAUCGGCGACAAACGACAUUGAAGAAGAGGUAUCGGUGUAUAAACUGGAGCAGACCACUGGACCCACAGAUGACUCUUAAAACUGAGGACGCUGGCCUUUCCUCAGAUUUGUCGCCCCACCUGCACCCCCUCCGCCCCUUUAAACAAUGGCGGAUCUCUCCCUGAUCAAUAACACGGGGGGGGGGGGGGGGGGGGGUCGGGGAGACAGCUUGCGUGACUCUCAUUGACUCGUUGUAGGACAAGUUUCAAAUGGUCAUUUGCAAGGUGCUAAUUCCUGGACACUCGAAUAGAUCCUGAACGUCUCACCGUCAUCCCCCCUAAAAUGCUGAUUUACAAUUUUCCUUUGGUACAGCGUUUGUACCAAUAAAGUAAAACAAGACAUAAUGUGUUCUUUGUUGAUCGUGAUCUUGUUAGCCACGCUGAACUGGAUGCUAUCCACCUUCUCAUCAAACAUGCCAGGAAGGCAAUUUUCAUUUUUCCCAACAUCCUCCAGCUCUACAGUCCGAACUCUAAGUUGUAUGGUGGUUUUUAGCUUAUUCGGGAUUUUAUCACUCAGUUUUCCUCUUAUUCAAAAAGGAUGUGCAGUGGUCUUUUCCAGUUUUUUUUUUUUUAACAUACAAAAAGAAACACCCAACAAAUAAAACAACACAUUUGCAAACUAAACAUCCGUUUUGUCAGAAACUAUUUCAUACAACAUCCGUGGUAGGUGACAUGUUUUUUGUGACUCAAAGGCUUCACGGCUGACAUGCUAUUGUGGGCGGGUGGUUUGAAAUGCACGCAUGCAUUGAGACACGUUUCAGGCCGCGUAAUGUUUGUGUCUCGUUACACGGGGGUGAAGCUCCUCUUAAAUACACAGACAGACUUGACUUUGCUUUCCGUGUAGUGGGUUGUGUCACGAAAAGAAGAACAAAUAAAUCAAAUCUCUUUACAUUUAGAAGAAAAAAAAAAGUUAUAUACACCUUGAUAGCAUCGUUAAAUUCAUAUCGUACAAGUGUCGUAAAAGUUUACAGUCAGAAAAGGUAAUUGUGUUCGCCGUCCUUUGGCCAAAAAAAUAAUUGGGAAACAUCUCCAAAAUGUAAUACUUCUUUCUUUCCUUUAAAACAAACCAAUAAUACAUACGAUGCUUUGUUCUCGCCCUGCGCGGCGUUAUUUGCAUGCUCUGUUCAACAAAACAAACCUAAACUUCCUUAAAAUGAAGUACUUUUGUUUUCAGGGUGGGUCGGGGGAAUUUGCCGCUAUUUACAGUUGAGGGAUUAUUACUUUGUUUCUUUCAUUUAUUUAUUGUGAAAUAACAAUAUGUACCAAAAUGGAAAUCCCCAAAUUGUAUUGCAUUCACUUGACGCUAGUCGUGGGUUUUAGGGUGUUUUUUUGGGCCUCGCUGUCAAAACAUACUAAUCGCAUAAAGAAAAAAAUUAGUAAGAAUCAAAUUGCUGAUGUAGGCGAUUCUUUUUCUAUGCACAAGGCAAGCAAGAUCCGAGCAGCUCAACUAUCACUAAAUCCAAAUUACAGCCUUUUCCAACCAAGCAGUGAGAAUAUUUUCUCUGCAGUUACCAACUAAAGAACACAGAAUCCCCCCCAAAAGACCCACAAUUCCUGUGUUUUUCAGAUCACGUUUGAGAAAUGGAAACUAUUCUUUAGGGGGGAUGGUGGGGGGGGGGGCAAGGAUCUGCGGGCCCUGUUUGCCCCGACCUGCAAUGCUCCCAUCCAACCACCAGAGGGCGGUCCACACACGUCACAUCCCCAUCUUCAGAAGGCCAGAAGGUUUUCAGAUUCAUGAAAAGGGCGUUUGGGUUUUUGUUGUUGAAAACUCGUCCUUGGAGUUUUCCUCUCCUUGUUGAUUGAUGCAAGGAUGCUGUGAGUAGAUUAAAAAAAAGAUAGGUAGCUGUUCUUCCUCCUUGUCUCCUCUUUAUCCCCCAACCAAAGUAUCAGGCAGCCUCCCUGAGAGGAAAAGUUACAAUCUAGAGUUCAUGUCUGCUAACAGUUCUUAUGGCACACAGUCCCAGUCUAGCUAUAUUUCAUUUGCAGGGGGGGGGGG